RNAcentral lists this ribosomal RNA (492 nucleotides) under uncultured bacterium. RNAcentral's name for it is "partial 16S ribosomal RNA". It matches the Rfam family "Bacterial small subunit ribosomal RNA", at positions 29 to 507 of the family's 1533-position model. The record is from RNAcentral.
AGUGAACGCUGGCGGUAGGCCUAACACAUGCAAGUCGAACGGCAGCACAGUAAGAGCUUGCUCUUACGGGUGGCGAGUGGCGGACGGGUGAGGAAUACAUCGGAAUCUACUUUUUCGUGGGGGACAACGUAGGGAAACUUACGCUAAUACCGCAUACGACCUACGGGUGAAAGCAGGGGAUCUUCGGACCUUGCGCGAUUGAAUGAGCCGAUGUCGGAUUAGCUAGUUGGCGGGGUAAAGGCCCACCAAGGCGACGAUCCGUAGCUGGUCUGAGAGGAUGAUCAGCCACACGGGAACUGAGACACGGUCCAGACUCCUACGGGAGGCAGCAGUGGGGAAUAUUGGACAAUGGGCGCAAGCCUGAUCCAGCCAUACCGCGUGGGUGAAGAAGGCCUUCGGGUUGUAAAGCCCUUUUGUUGGGAAAGAAAAGCAGCAGGUUAAUACCCCGCUGUUCUGACGGUACCCAAAGAAUAAGCACCGGCUAACUUCGUG